AAACUCAAGUUUCUCAGCAGAUCGUACAAAUCUUUCGCCUUUUACUAAAGAUUUCCGUGCAUAGGGACAGCAUGAGUAAUGAUUAAUUUUUGAUGUCCUGCCCAGAUGUAGGAC
Small nuclear RNA from Lampris incognitus (smalleye Pacific opah), 114 nucleotides. RefSeq annotates it as U5 spliceosomal RNA. The transcript has a single exon. Lineage: Eukaryota; Metazoa; Chordata; Actinopteri; Lampriformes; Lampridae. The record is from RefSeq and is a predicted model, not a curated record.